UGGGGAAUAUUGCACAAUGGGGGCAACCCUGAUGCAGCGACGCCGCGUGAACGAAGAAGUUAUUCGUAUCGUAAAGUUCUGUCCUAUGGGAAGAUAAUGACAGUACCAUAGAAGAAAGCUCCGGCUAAAUACGUGCCAGCAGCCGCGGUAAUACGUAUGGAGCGAGCGUUGUCCGGAAUUAUUGGGCGUAAAGGGUACGCAGGCGGUUUAAUAAGUAGAAUGUUAAAGAUCGGGGCUCAACCCCGUAAAGCAUUGGAAACUGAUAAGCUUGAGUAGUGGAGAGGAAAGUAGAAUUCCUAGUGUAGUGGUGAAAUACGUAGAUAUUAGGAGGAAUACCAGUAGCGAAGGCGACUUUCUGGACACAAACUGACGCUGAGGUACGAAAGCGUGGGGAGCAAACAGG
Molecule: ribosomal RNA, 403 nt
Filed under: bacterium
Lineage: Bacteria
Description: partial 16S ribosomal RNA
Rfam family: Bacterial small subunit ribosomal RNA
Source: RNAcentral